UAGGAACAGCCCGUGUCAUAUUAAACUGGACAGACCCUGUAGGAACAGCCCGUGUCAUUAAAUGGACAGGCCCUGUAGGAACAGCCCGUGUCAUAUUAAAUGGACAGGCCCUGUAGGAACAGCCCGUGUCAUAUUAAAUGGACAGGCCCUGUAGGAACAGCCCGUGUCAUAUUAAAUGGACAGACCCUGUAGGAACAGCCCGUGUCAUAUUAAAUGGACAGACCCUGUAGGAACAGCCCGUGUCAUAUUAAAUGGACAGGCCCUGUAGGAACAGCCCGUGUCAUAUUAAAUGGACAGACCCUGUAGGAACAGCCCGUGUCAUAUUAAAUGGACAGACCCUGUAGGAACAGCCCGUGUCAUAUUAAAUGGACAGACCCUGUAGGAACAGCCCGUGUCAUAUUAAAUGGACAGACCCUGUAGGAACAGCCCGUGUCAUAUUAAAUGGACAGACCCUGUAGGAACAGCCCGUGUCAUAUUAAAUGGACAGACCCUGUAGGAACAGCCCGUGUCAUAUUAAAUGGACAGACCCUGUAGGAACAGCCCGUGUCAUAUUAAAUGGACAGACCCUGUAGGAACAGCCCGUGUCAUAUUAAAUGGACAGACCCUGUAGGAACAGCCCAGGUCAUAUUAAAUGGACAGACCCUGUAGGAACAGCCCAUGUCAUAUUAAAUGGACAGACCCUGUAGGAACAGCCCGUGUCAUAUUAAAUGGACAGACCCUGUAGGAACAGCCCGUGUCAUAUUAAAUGGACAGGCCCUGUAGGAACAGCCCGUGUCAUAUUAAAUGGACAGACCCUGUAGGAACAGCCUGUGUCAUAUUG
Oncorhynchus keta (chum salmon) is the source of this 820-nucleotide long non-coding RNA. RefSeq lists it as uncharacterized. The record is from RefSeq and is a predicted model, not a curated record. NCBI's taxonomy places the organism in Eukaryota, Metazoa, Chordata, Actinopteri, Salmoniformes, Salmonidae. The transcript is spliced from 4 exons.